AUCCAUGGCUUUACCACAAUGGGGGCAACAUCAUUAGCAUUCAGCUGACAACAUGACCAAAAUCUUUACCCUGCUUCGGAAGUAUGAACCCCAUGGGCCAUUGGUAAACUCUGAGUACUACACAGGCUGGCUGGAUUACUGGGGCCAGAAUCACUCCACACGGUCUGUGUCAGCUGUAACCAAAGGACUAGAGAACAUGCUCAAGUUGGGAGCCAGUGUGAACAUGUACAUGUUCCAUGGAGGUACCAACUUUGGAUAUUGGAAUGGUGCCGAUAAGAAGGGACGCUUCCUUCCGAUUACUACCAGCUAUGACUAUGAUGCACCUAUAUCUGAAGCAGGGGACCCCACACCUAAGCUUUUUGCUCUUCGAGAUGUCAUCAGCAAGUUCCAGGAAGUUCCUUUGGGACCUUUACCUCCCCCCAGCCCCAAGAUGAUGCUUGGACCUGUGACUCUGCACCUGGUUGGGCAUUUACUGGCUUUCCUAGACUUGCUUUGCCCCCGUGGGCCCAUUCAUUCAAUCUUGCCAAUGACCUUUGAGGCUGUCAAGCAGGACCAUGGCUUCAUGUUGUACCGAACCUAUAUGACCCAUACCAUUUUUGAGCCAACACCAUUCUGGGUGCCAAAUAAUGGAGUCCAUGACCGUGCCUAUGUGAUGGUGGAUGGGGUGUUCCAGGGUGUUUUGGAGCGAAAUAUGAGAGACAAACUAUUUUUGACGGGGAAACUGGGGUCCAAACUGGAUAUCUUGGUGGAGAACAUGGGGAGGCUCAGCUUUGGGUCUAACAGCAGUGACUUCAAGGGCCUGUUGAAGCCACCAAUUCUGGGGCAAACAAUCCUUACCCAGUGGAUGAUGUUCCCUCUGAAAAUUGAUAACCUUGUGAAGUGGUGGUUUCCCCUCCAGUUGCCAAAAUGGCCAUAUCCUCAAGCUCCUUAUGGCCCCACAUUCUACUCCAAAACAUUUCCAAUUUUAGGCUCAGUUGGGGACACAUUUCUAUAUCUACCUGGAUGGACCAAGGGCCAAGUCUGGAUCAAUGGGUUUAACUUGGGCCGGUACUGGACAAAGCAGGGGCCACAACAGACCCUCUACGUGCCAAGAUUCCUGCUGUUUCCUAGGGGAGCCCUCAACAAAAUUACAUUGCUGGAACUAGAAGAUGUACCUCUCCAGCCCCAAGUCCAAUUUUUGGAUAAGCCUAUCCUCAACAGCACUAGUACUUUGCACAGGACACAUAUCAACUCCCUUUCAGCUGAUACACUGAGUGCCUCUGAACCAAUGGAGUUAAGUGGGCACUGAAAGGUAGGCCGGGCGUGGUGGCUCAUGCCUGUAAUCCCAGCACUUUGGGAGGCUGAGACGGGUGGAUUACCUGAGGUCAGGACUUCAAGACCAGCCUGGCCAACAUGGUGAAACCCCGUCUCCACUAAAAAUACAAAAAUUAGCCGGGCGUGAUGGUGGGCACCUCUAAUCCCAGCUACUUGGGAGGCUGAGGGCAGAAGAAUUGCUUGAAUCCAGGAGGCAGAGGUUGCAGUGAGUGGAGGUCGUACCACUGCACUCCAGCCUGGGUGACAGUGAGACACUCCAUCUCAAAAAAAAAAAAAAAAA
This 1594-nucleotide small RNA is filed under the name Pan troglodytes (chimpanzee). RNAcentral's name for it is "processed transcript". The stretch from base 1296 to 1412 matches the Rfam family "Metazoan signal recognition particle RNA". Lineage: Eukaryota; Metazoa; Chordata; Mammalia; Primates; Hominidae. The record is from RNAcentral.